GCGCACGCUGGCGGCAGGCCUAACACAUGCCAGUCGAACGAACCUUUCGGGGUUAGUGGCGGACGGGUGAGUAACACGUGGGAACGUGCCUUUAGGUUCGGAAUAACUCAGGGAAACUUGUGCUAAUACCGAAUGUGCCCUUCGGGGGAAAGAUUUAUCGCCUUUAGAGCGGCCCGCGUCUGAUUAGCUAGUUGGUUGAGGUAAUGGCUCACCAAGGCGACGAUCAGUAGCUGGUCUGAGAGGAUGAUCAGCCACAUUGGGACUGAGACACGGCCCAAACUCCUACGGGAGGCAGCAGUGGGGAAUCUUGCGCAAUGGGCGAAAGCCUGACGCAGCCAUGCCGCGUGAAUGAUGAAGGUCUUAGGAUUGUAAAAUUCUUUCACCGGGGACGAUAAUGACGGUACCCGGAGAAGAAGCCCCGGCUAACUUCGUG
Molecule: ribosomal RNA, 433 nt
Filed under: uncultured bacterium
Lineage: Bacteria
Description: partial 16S ribosomal RNA
Rfam family: Bacterial small subunit ribosomal RNA
Source: RNAcentral